This 648-nucleotide ribosomal RNA is filed under the name Paradrilus opacus. RNAcentral describes it as "eukaryotic LSU rRNA". It matches the Rfam family "Eukaryotic large subunit ribosomal RNA", at positions 670 to 1259 of the family's 3401-position model. Lineage: Eukaryota; Metazoa; Arthropoda; Insecta; Coleoptera; Omalisidae. The record is from RNAcentral.
GGAGUCUAGCAUGUGCGCGAGUCAUUGGGAUUCGUUGNUAAACCUAAAGGCGAAAUGAAAGUGAAGGCGUGCCUUGCGCACGCCGAGGGAGGAUGGGUGCGAUUCGCGUCGCUGCCCCGCACUCCCGGGGCGUCUCGUUCUCAUUGCGAGAAGAGGCGCACCCAGAGCGUACACGCUGGGACCCGAAAGAUGGUGAACUAUGCCUGGUCAGGACGAAGUCAGGGGAAACCCUGAUGGAGGUCCGUAGCGAUUCUGACGUGCAAAUCGAUCGUCGGAACUGGGUAUAGGGGCGAAAGACUAAUCGAACCAUCUAGUAGCUGGUUCCCUCCGAAGUUUCCCUCAGGAUAGCUGGCGCUCGUAAUAGAGCGAGUCUCAUCCGGUAAAGCGAAUGAUUAGAGGCAUUGGGGUCGAAACGGCCUCAACCUAUUCUCAAACUUUAAAUGGGUGAGAUCUCCGGCUUGCUUAAAUCGAUUGAUUAUUCGAUCGUGAAGCCGGAGAUCGGAUCAGAGUGCCAAGUGGGCCACUUUUGGUAAGCAGAACUGGCGCUGUGGGAUGAACCAAACGCAGAGUUAAAGCGCCUAAAUCGACGCUUAUGGGAUACCAUGAAAGGCGUUGGUAACUUAAAACAGCAGGACGGUGGCCAUGGAA